AAGUCGUAACAAGGUUUCCGUAGGUGAACCUGCGGAAGGAUCAUUAACAGAAAAGAGGGGCGAGUGCAUCAUUGCUCUCUCUCUCUCAUUCAUCCCUGUGAUAUGUGUAUUUACUAUGUGUGUGUGUGUGUGUAUGUGUGUGUGCUUAAAUGUGGGUGCACACGCUGCAUACAUGCUUCUUUUUUUACUCUGUUUUCAUUCUUAUGUGUGUGUAUCUUGUGUACCUUCGUGGUACAAAUCAAAAUCGAAAACUGCCAGCAAUGGAUCACUCGGUUCUC
This 278-nucleotide unclassified non-coding RNA is filed under the name fungal sp. RNAcentral's name for it is "partial internal transcribed spacer region". The stretch from base 1 to 46 matches the Rfam family "Eukaryotic small subunit ribosomal RNA", at positions 1786 to 1831 of the family's 1831-position model. Lineage: Eukaryota; Fungi. The record is from RNAcentral.